This 510-nucleotide ribosomal RNA is filed under the name uncultured bacterium. RNAcentral describes it as "partial 16S ribosomal RNA". It matches the Rfam family "Bacterial small subunit ribosomal RNA", at positions 28 to 507 of the family's 1533-position model. The record is from RNAcentral.
GACGAACGCUGGCGGCGUGCUUAACACAUGCAAGUCGAACGAAGAGCGAUGGAAGCUUGCUUCUAUCAAUCUUAGUGGCGAACGGGUGAGUAACGCGUAAUCAACCUGCCCUUCAGUGGGGGACAACAGUUGGAAACGACUGCUAAUACCGCAUACGAUCUAAUCUCGGCAUCGAGGAUAGAUGAAAGGUGGCCUCUACAUGUAAGCUAUCACUGAAGGCGGGGAUUGCGUCUGAUUAGCUAGUUGGAGGGGUAACGGCCCACCAAGGCGAUGAUCAGUAGGCGGUCUGAGAGGAUGAACGGCCACAUUGGGACUGAGACACGGCCCAGACUCCUACGGGAGGCAGCAGUGGGGAAUCUUUCGCAAAGGACGAAAGUCUGACGGAGCAACGCCGCGUGAGUGAUGACGGCCUUCGGGUUGUAAAGCUCUGUUAAUCGGGACGAAAGGCCUUCUUGCGAAUAGUGAGAAGGAUUGACGGUACCGGAAUAGAAAGCCACGGCUAACUACGUG